Long non-coding RNA from Pezoporus occidentalis (night parrot), 2319 nucleotides. RefSeq lists it as uncharacterized. NCBI's taxonomy places the organism in Eukaryota, Metazoa, Chordata, Aves, Psittaciformes, Psittacidae. The transcript is spliced from 4 exons. The record is from RefSeq and is a predicted model, not a curated record.
AGCGCCCACAAAGUGGCUCUGAGCUGCAGUGGCAAGGAGGGUGAGGUCCAAAUGAAGCAAAUCAGACAGAACAGAGAUGAAAGAUGACACAGGGUGCUGAAUGUACACUGAUUAUUAGACAGUGGUAAGACCGGAGCCUGAAAAAUCAGUUUGAGAGCUCCUAGGGUCUUCCUCAAAUAAGGAUAAGAUCCUAUUAGUCCUACAAGUCAUACUCAAAUUUCCGGGUACUCGCAGUAAGGACCCACUACUUCUUAUCUCAGCUGUCACACAAGUAACAAACAUCUUUCCAACUACUGAAUCUCAUUACCCUAAAACCAGAGUGGUCCUGAUUCGAGCCAAAACCUGAAAAGCUCUGCGUGCUCUGGAGCAAUACAUGAAAAAUGGUGAAAAUGCUUUGGUCACCUGAGGGCUCGCCCCUGCCCAGGAAGAAGGUCAUGCCCAUGAAAGAUGGUCAGCAAAAGACUCACCUGCAUCCCCUGGUAACUCGGGUAUGUUUUUGUUUACUGAAGCAGUCAUGGACUGGGGGCUGGUUUCUCAGGCCGCUGGUGUUGCUGAUUACUUGAAUGACAUUUUAAAACCCAUCCUGAAAAAUGUCUCCCAGAAGCUCAUCAUGGUUUUGGUGAGGUUAUAAUAUCAGGUACCUCAGACAUGAACUGAAAAAGAUCACACUUUGCCUGCUUCUGACAUGUCCUGCGCAACUGACGUGCUUCCCCAGGGUGCAAACAAAGCCAUCUACGCAGUCAUGAGGUUUUUGGCUGGUUCCUGUUAUAAACCUGUGUUAACAUUUACCUUUCUCUUGUUCAGUGUGUGUCCUUGCAUAUUACAAAUUAGAUAAUUAAUUCUGAAAGAACAAACUUAUUUUUAAUAUUUACUUUCUUUCUCCCUCUUAUUUCCAGCUUCAAGCACAUACUCCUGGAGUUAUGAUUUAUUACCCUGACCUAUUUCCAGAUCCAAGGUCAAAUACUUCCUCUCCUAAUGACAUCUUGUUAAAGUUUUCAAACGUAACAUCUCACCCUUCAAAGCUCGUUCCACCCAUCCAUGAGCAUUAGCUUAUCUGAGUCAUUUUCUUUUAGGCAGAAACUAUCUAUCUCUGUUUGAUAUAAUGCAGAUUUUUGUCAUAGAAGUAGCAUAUUCUCAGUCACGGUGUAAAACAAAGAUCAGGGAACACAGCUUCUACACUCUGCCUUUUCUCCAAGGCAAUGCUCACUGACUGUAUCACUCCGUAUUUAGCAGAGCUCAGGCAGUACUUGUGUCCCUUCUCACUGGUCUUACCUAAGAUACUCUCUUUCCCUUAACAUAAUUCUGAUUUAUUCUCCCUUCACUGUAGUCACAGUCAAUGGCACCAAAAUACAGAGCUUGUCAGCAUUCAGUAUCACCCUGGGUUCUCCACAAGCACAGUAAAUAUUAGUCUUACGGGCUGUCUAUACACUCUCACACAAGCCUUAUAUUCAAAACACAGAUUUCUUGAUAUAUAAUUAGUCAAGAUUAUAAUCCUUGACGCUGCUGUGCAUUCCCACCCGUAUGUGCACCCUUUUAUAAUGGCUUGCAAACUUGUUUUCUCACACAAAGGAGGCAGCCCUUCCCUCCUGUCAAGUCUACCCUUCUCUGCAUUUUCUAAUAGGACAGAAAGCAAAAUUUCCCCCAUUACUUUAACUCUCACUGGUGGUUGAACUGAUAGCCCAGCAGCUAGAUAGUCUUCCACACUAAUAACAUCAACCCCUUUGGAUGCACUGACUAAGAAACAUGCAGUUUUCAUUAGACUGCCCUUAAUGCAGAAAAGAUGUAUGUUCGGCAAGGUUGAAUGGAAACCUGACAUCUCUGGUGUGUCCAUUGCUACAAAUUAGUGCAUCUGCGUCCUGCAAAAGCAAGCGGGAACUGAAAAGAUAAAUACACGCUUCAUAAAACAAAAUAAAACCAGCUCUAGAAAUAGGCAAGACCCUGAAGGAGGACUGAAAUAGACCCUGGAAAAUAGUGAAGUAAUGGGCUUACAGUUUUAUUAUUCAUAUAAAGUUUAGUGACUUCAAAAUGAAGGCAAAGCCAAACAAGACUUGUUAUCCCACUAAAAUCUGUGCUGUAACUGAAGCCAGUACACAGAUGUUCUGUGGUAAAAUCUGCUGCUUUGCUGCAUAAAAGCGUCACAGACCCUGACGUGCAGUCCUGGCUUGCCUUUAUCCAAACCUACUUAAAUUCUGGAUUAUUUUUCUAGCAAUCUUUUAAACUGCCAUGGGAAGCAUAAAAGGUGGUCUCCCAAAAAAACAGUUGGUACCAGCUUGAAAUGUAACUGUUUGCAGAAAUAAAUCAGGAUUUCUUUUUAAUAAA